RNAcentral lists this ribosomal RNA (720 nucleotides) under Boana raniceps (Chaco treefrog). RNAcentral describes it as "partial 16S ribosomal RNA". It matches the Rfam family "Bacterial large subunit ribosomal RNA", at positions 1928 to 2925 of the family's 2925-position model. Lineage: Eukaryota; Metazoa; Chordata; Amphibia; Anura; Hylidae. The record is from RNAcentral.
CGGCCGCGGUAUCCUAACCGUGCGAAGGUAGCGUAAUCACUUGUUCUUUAAAUGAGGACUAGUAUGAAUGGCACCACGAGGGUUAAACUGUCUCCUUUUUUUAAUCAGUGAAACUAAUCUCCCCGUGAAGAAGCGGGGAUUCUUUUAUAAGACGAGAAGACCCUAUGGAGCUUUAAACAAGUUAACACCUGCUACUAAUCNNUUCACUUUCCUGAACCACCACAUUAAGUAUAGCACCUCUGAUUAACAGUUUUCGAUUGGGGUGAUCAUGGAGCAAAAAUCAACCUCCACGACGAAAAGGAACACCUCCUUGAGCCAAAAGCUACAACUUUAAGCACUAAAAAACUAACGCACUUUGACCCAAUUCUUUGAGCAACGAACCAAGUUACCCUAGGGAUAACAGCGCAAUCCACUUUAAGAGCUCCUAUCGACAAGUGGGUUUACGACCUCGAUGUUGGAUCAGGGUAUCCCAGUGGUGCAGCCGCUACUAAAGGUUCGUUUGUUCAACGAUUAAAACCCUACGUGAUCUGAGUUCAGACCGGAGUAAUCCAGGUCAGUUUCUAUCUAUAAAGGGCUUUUUCUAGUACGAAAGGACCGAAAAAGCAUGGCCUAUAACCCAUCAAGCCAUAUAAAUUACUAUUGUUCCCAACUUAAAUAGAAGUAAACCUACCACUUAUCUCGAUAAAAGAGAAGUUAACGUAGCAUAACCUGGCCUUGCAG